AUCCAGUUGAGGAGUGCCAAAUAGGACGAAAAGCGCGUUUUGGAU
RNAcentral lists this non-coding RNA (45 nucleotides) under Schistosoma haematobium. The record is from RNAcentral. Lineage: Eukaryota; Metazoa; Platyhelminthes; Trematoda; Strigeidida; Schistosomatidae.